Non-coding RNA from Xiphophorus hellerii (green swordtail), 567 nucleotides. The record is from the annotation of a RefSeq genome assembly. NCBI's taxonomy places the organism in Eukaryota, Metazoa, Chordata, Actinopteri, Cyprinodontiformes, Poeciliidae.
CUGGAUCAUGAUGGACCACAGAUCAGCACUGCUCCUUUUAGUCAUCUCUGUAAUGGGAGUUGAUGGUCAGACUCUGACAGAGUCUGAACCAGCAGUAAAAAGACCUGGAGAAUCCCACAAACUGACCUGCACAGCCUCUGGAUUCACAUUCAGUGACCGCUGGAUGGUCUGGGUCAGACAGGCUGCUGGAAAACAACUGGAGUGGCUUGCAUUAAUUCAUCCAGGCAGUGACAGCACAUACUACUCUCAGUCAGUUCAAGGCAGGUUUACCAUCUCCAGAGACAACGGCCAGCAGCAGCUGUAUCUGCAGAUGAACAGCCUGAGAACAGAAGAUUCUGCUGUUUAUUAUUGCGCUCGAGAGGCACAGUGACUGAAGUCGGUUCAGCUGCUGUACAAAAACCUCAAUGCCUUCAAAUUUAUCUGGACAGAGUUUUUCCAAUAUCUUCCAGAGUAAGACUGUAAAUGUAAACAACCUGACACUGAGACAAAGAGAAAACUAAGCAUAAUAGGUUUGUGUUUGAUCAUAUCCGACUGUUCUAAUUACAAGAAGAACCAUUUUGUUUAUAU